GGAAGAAAUGAAGAAUACAAUAUAUGAAAUAAAAAAAUACACUAGAAGGAAUUAUGAGCAGGCUGGAUGAAGAGGAGCACUGGAUUAGUGAGCUGGAAGACAAGGUAGAAAGAAAUACCCAGUAUAGGAGCAACA
Molecule: long non-coding RNA, 135 nt
Organism: Phyllostomus discolor (pale spear-nosed bat)
Lineage: Eukaryota; Metazoa; Chordata; Mammalia; Chiroptera; Phyllostomidae
Exons: 2
Source: RefSeq, a predicted model, not a curated record